UGCAUGUCCCAGACUAAGCUUUUCAUAGCGAAUCUGUGAAUGGCUCAUUAUAACAGUUAUAAUGUUAUUGGCUAUCUCUGUUACAUGGAUACCUGUGGUAAUUCUAUAGCUAAUACAUGCUUGCAGACCCAACUUAUUGGAAGAGUUGUUCUUGCUAGUUCUAGAACUAAUCCUGGCUUGCCCAGGGAUUUUGGUGAAUGACAACAAGACAAUGAAUCACAUAGCUUCUGCUGGUGAUACAUCUUUUCAAUUUCUGACCUAUCAGCUUUUGAUGGGAAGGUAUUGGCUUCCUGUGGCAAUGACGGGUGACGGAGAAUUAGGGUUUGAUUCCGGAGAGGGAGCCUGAGGAAUGGCUACCACAUCUAAGGAAGGCAGCAGGCGCGCAAAUUACCCAAUCUUGACAUAAGGAGGUAGUGACAACAAAUAACAAUACAGGGCAUCCAUGUCUUGUAAUUGGAAUGGGCUUAAGCCAAUCAUUUUUGCGAGAACCCAUUGGAGGGCAAGUCUGGUGCCAGCAGCCGCGGUAAUUCCAGCUCCAAUAGUGUAUAUUAAAGUUGUUGCGGUUAAAAAGCUCGUAGUUGAAUUACUGCUGGGGACAACUGGUACGCCUUCUGGGUAAGUAUUAGUGUGUCUCGGGCAUAUUCUUGGGUAUCGCUUCUGCACUUGACUGUGUGGUGUGCUCUCCAGGGUUGUUACUUUGAGGAAAUCAGAGUGCUUCCAGCAGGCAAUUGUUUUGAAUACAUUAGCAUGGAAUAAUAAGAUGAGACUUCAAAUUAUUUUUGUUGGUUUCAAUGAUGAAGUAACGAUUGAAAGGGAUAGUUAGGGGUAUGUGUAUUCAAUUGUCAGAGGUGAAAUUCUUGGAUUUAUUAAGACAAACAAAUGCGAAAGCAUUUGCCAAGGAUGUUUUUUUUGAUCAAGAGCGAAAGUUAGGGGAUCGAAGACGAUCAGAUACCGUCCUAGUCUUAACCAUAAAC
This 974-nucleotide ribosomal RNA is filed under the name Spiniferites hyperacanthus. Its description in RNAcentral is "SSU rRNA". It matches the Rfam family "Eukaryotic small subunit ribosomal RNA", at positions 52 to 1037 of the family's 1831-position model. The record is from RNAcentral. Lineage: Eukaryota; Dinophyceae; Gonyaulacales; Gonyaulacaceae.